UACGUAGGGGGCAAGCGUUGUCCGGAUUUAUUGGGCGUAAAGAGCGUGUAGGCGGCUUGGUAGGUCCGCUGUGAAAACUCGAGGCUCAACCUCGAGAUGUCGGCGGAAACCAUUUGGCUAGAGUCCGGAAGAGGAGAGUGGAAUUCCUGGUGUAGCGGUGAAAUGCGCAGAUAUCAGGAAGAACACCAAUGGCGAAAGCAGCUCUCUGGGACGGUACUGACGCUGAGACGCGAAAGCGUGGGGAGCAAACAGG
This 253-nucleotide ribosomal RNA is filed under the name uncultured bacterium. Its description in RNAcentral is "partial 16S ribosomal RNA". It matches the Rfam family "Bacterial small subunit ribosomal RNA", at positions 524 to 776 of the family's 1533-position model. The record is from RNAcentral.